RNAcentral lists this transfer RNA (71 nucleotides) under Bos taurus (domestic cattle). It matches the Rfam family "tRNA". Rfam says of the family: Transfer RNA (tRNA) molecules are approximately 80 nucleotides in length. Their secondary structure includes four short double-helical elements and three loops (D, anti-codon, and T loops). Further hydrogen bonds mediate the characteristic L-shaped molecular structure. tRNAs have two regions of fundamental functional importance: the anti-codon, which is responsible for specific mRNA codon recognition, and the 3' end, to which the tRNAs corresponding amino acid is attached (by aminoacyl-tRNA synthetases). tRNAs cope with the degeneracy of the genetic code in two manners: having more than one tRNA (with a specific anti-codon) for a particular amino acid; and 'wobble' base-pairing, i.e. permitting non-standard base-pairing at the 3rd anti-codon position. The record is from Rfam by way of RNAcentral. Lineage: Eukaryota; Metazoa; Chordata; Mammalia; Artiodactyla; Bovidae. RNAcentral also lists the same sequence under 6 other names.
UCCCUGGUGGUCCAGUGGUUAGACUUAGUGCUUUUAUUAAUGUGGCCCAGGUUCAAUCCCUGGUCAGGGAU